AACGCUAGCUACAGGCUUAACACAUGCAAGUCGAGGGGCAGCACAGUGUAGCAAUACAUGGGUGGCGACCGGCGCACGGGUGCGUAACGCGUAUCCAACCUUCCCGAUACUCAGGGAUAGCCUUCCGAAAGGGAGAUUAAUACCUGAUGGUGUUCAAAUUCCGCAUGUUAUUUGAACUAAAGAUUUAUCGGUAUCGGAUGGGGAUGCGUGACAUUAGAUAGUAGGCGGGGUAACGGCCCACCUAGUCUACGAUGUCUAGGGGUUCUGAGAGGAAGGUCCCCCACACUGGAACUGAGACACGGUCCAGACUCCUACGGGAGGCAGCAGUGAGGAAUAUUGGUCAAUGGUCGGAAGACUGAACCAGCCAAGUAGCGUGAAGGAUGAAGGUUCUAUGGAUUGUAAACUUCUUUUAUACGGGAAUAAAACCUCCCACGUGUGGGAGCUUGUAUGUACCGUAUGAAUAAGCAUCGGCUAACUCCGUGCCAGCAGCCGCGGUAAUACGGAGGAUGCGAGCGUUAUCCGGAUUUAUUGGGUUUAAAGGGAGCGUAGACGGGAUGUUAAGUCAGUUGUGAAAGGCUGCGGCUCAACCGCAGCACUGCAGUUGAUACUGGCGUCCUUGAGUGCGGUUGAGGUGUAUGGAAUUCGUGGUGUAGCGGUGAAAUGCUUAGAUAUCACGAAGAACUCCGAUUG
RNAcentral lists this ribosomal RNA (690 nucleotides) under uncultured Bacteroidales bacterium. Its description in RNAcentral is "bacterial SSU rRNA". It matches the Rfam family "Bacterial small subunit ribosomal RNA", at positions 32 to 715 of the family's 1533-position model. The record is from RNAcentral. Lineage: Bacteria; Pseudomonadati; Bacteroidota; Bacteroidia; Bacteroidales.